RNAcentral lists this ribosomal RNA (2342 nucleotides) under Escherichia coli. Its description in RNAcentral is "partial 23S ribosomal RNA". It matches the Rfam family "Bacterial large subunit ribosomal RNA", at positions 620 to 2925 of the family's 2925-position model. Lineage: Bacteria; Pseudomonadati; Pseudomonadota; Gammaproteobacteria; Enterobacterales; Enterobacteriaceae. The record is from RNAcentral.
UCAGCGACUUAUAUUCUGUAGCAAGGUUAACCGAAUAGGGGAGCCGAAGGGAAACCGAGUCUUAACUGGGCGUUAAGUUGCAGGGUAUAGACCCGAAACCCGGUGAUCUAGCCAUGGGCAGGUUGAAGGUUGGGUAACACUAACUGGAGGACCGAACCGACUAAUGUUGAAAAAUUAGCGGAUGACUUGUGGCUGGGGGUGAAAGGCCAAUCAAACCGGGAGAUAGCUGGUUCUCCCCGAAAGCUAUUUAGGUAGCGCCUCGUGAAUUCAUCUCCGGGGGUAGAGCACUGUUUCGGCAAGGGGGUCAUCCCGACUUACCAACCCGAUGCAAACUGCGAAUACCGGAGAAUGUUAUCACGGGAGACACACGGCGGGUGCUAACGUCCGUCGUGAAGAGGGAAACAACCCAGACCGCCAGCUAAGGUCCCAAAGUCAUGGUUAAGUGGGAAACGAUGUGGGAAGGCCCAGACAGCCAGGAUGUUGGCUUAGAAGCAGCCAUCAUUUAAAGAAAGCGUAAUAGCUCACUGGUCGAGUCGGCCUGCGCGGAAGAUGUAACGGGGCUAAACCAUGCACCGAAGCUGCGGCAGCGACACUGUGUGUUGUUGGGUAGGGGAGCGUUCUGUAAGCCUGUGAAGGUGUGCUGUGAGGCAUGCUGGAGGUAUCAGAAGUGCGAAUGCUGACAUAAGUAACGAUAAAGCGGGUGAAAAGCCCGCUCGCCGGAAGACCAAGGGUUCCUGUCCAACGUUAAUCGGGGCAGGGUGAGUCGACCCCUAAGGCGAGGCCGAAAGGCGUAGUCGAUGGGAAACAGGUUAAUAUUCCUGUACUUGGUGUUACUGCGAAGGGGGGACGGAGAAGGCUAUGUUGGCCGGGCGACGGUUGUCCCGGUUUAAGCGUGUAGGCUGGUUUUCCAGGCAAAUCCGGAAAAUCAAGGCUGAGGCGUGAUGACGAGGCACUACGGUGCUGAAGCAACAAAUGCCCUGCUUCCAGGAAAAGCCUCUAAGCAUCAGGUAACAUCAAAUCGUACCCCAAACCGACACAGGUGGUCAGGUAGAGAAUACCAAGGCGCUUGAGAGAACUCGGGUGAAGGAACUAGGCAAAAUGGUGCCGUAACUUCGGGAGAAGGCACGCUGAUAUGUAGGUGAAGUCCCUCGCGGAUGGAGCUGAAAUCAGUCGAAGAUACCAGCUGGCUGCAACUGUUUAUUAAAAACACAGCACUGUGCAAACACGAAAGUGGACGUAUACGGUGUGACGCCUGCCCGGUGCCGGAAGGUUAAUUGAUGGGGUCAGCGCAAGCGAAGCUCUUGAUCGAAGCCCCGGUAAACGGCGGCCGUAACUAUAACGGUCCUAAGGUAGCGAAAUUCCUUGUCGGGUAAGUUCCGACCUGCACGAAUGGCGUAAUGAUGGCCAGGCUGUCUCCACCCGAGACUCAGUGAAAUUGAACUCGCUGUGAAGAUGCAGUGUACCCGCGGCAAGACGGAAAGACCCCGUGAACCUUUACUAUAGCUUGACACUGAACAUUGAGCCUUGAUGUGUAGGAUAGGUGGGAGGCUUUGAAGUGUGGACGCCAGUCUGCAUGGAGCCGACCUUGAAAUACCACCCUUUAAUGUUUGAUGUUCUAACGUGGACCCGUGAUCCGGGUUGCGGACAGUGUCUGGUGGGUAGUUUGACUGGGGCGGUCUCCUCCUAAAGAGUAACGGAGGAGCACGAAGGUUGGCUAAUCCUGGUCGGACAUCAGGAGGUUAGUGCAAUGGCAUAAGCCAGCUUGACUGCGAGCGUGACGGCGCGAGCAGGUGCGAAAGCAGGUCAUAGUGAUCCGGUGGUUCUGAAUGGAAGGGCCAUCGCUCAACGGAUAAAAGGUACUCCGGGGAUAACAGGCUGAUACCGCCCAAGAGUUCAUAUCGACGGCGGUGUUUGGCACCUCGAUGUCGGCUCAUCACAUCCUGGGGCUGAAGUAGGUCCCAAGGGUAUGGCUGUUCGCCAUUUAAAGUGGUACGCGAGCUGGGUUUAGAACGUCGUGAGACAGUUCGGUCCCUAUCUGCCGUGGGCGCUGGAGAACUGAGGGGGGCUGCUCCUAGUACGAGAGGACCGGAGUGGACGCAUCACUGGUGUUCGGGUUGUCAUGCCAAUGGCACUGCCCGGUAGCUAAAUGCGGAAGAGAUAAGUGCUGAAAGCAUCUAAGCACGAAACUUGCCCCGAGAUGAGUUCUCCCUGACCCUUUAAGGGUCCUGAAGGAACGUUGAAGACGACGACGUUGAUAGGCCGGGUGUGUAAGCGCAGCGAUGCGUUGAGCUAACCGGUACUAAUGAACCGUGAGGCUUAACCUUACAACGCCGAAGGUGUUU